This 116-nucleotide small nuclear RNA is filed under the name Neogale vison (American mink). The record is from RNAcentral. Lineage: Eukaryota; Metazoa; Chordata; Mammalia; Carnivora; Mustelidae.
GUGAUUAUUGUUCACUUGAGCAUCUCGUAUACUAAAAUUGAAAUGAUGCGGAGAUUAGCAUGGCCCCUGCACAAGGAAGAUACUAGAAGUGGAUUCAUAUCCACUUUCCUGUUUUU